Molecule: long non-coding RNA, 1823 nt
Organism: Mus caroli (Ryukyu mouse)
Lineage: Eukaryota; Metazoa; Chordata; Mammalia; Rodentia; Muridae
Source: RefSeq, a predicted model, not a curated record
CCCUCCGGGAGAGUCGUUGCAGCCCUGGGCACAGAAAUAUUUGGAACACCUUAGAGUCUGUCCCAUCUGGAGCCAGAGCAUUUUUGUGCUGUUGUUAAUCUGCACCCUACCUGCAUCUGAGGCUGGGGACCUGAGGAUCCUCCUGUCCCCGGGAGGAAGAGCAAGCCAUAGAGCCACCGUGGACAGUGUGGCUGGCUUUACAAACAUGCCGGGUACGGACUAAUUAGAAUGUGCUACACCAGCUCUAGAAACGAGUUGGCCAUUCCUUCUGUGAAGAAUCUCUGCCUGUUUGUGUCCCUCCUUGGAAUCCUCAGGGCACUCUGAAGCCAAAGCUGUCUAAAAGGAGAUCAAGAAAUAUCCCAUCUGUCUAUAUGGAUGGAGCUAUUAUUUAUUAAGAGCCAGGGACUCUCCUAACCACGUACUGUAUCUUCCCGAAUACUCGGAAGGAGAAAGACAUGCCACCAGUGUUGGAGCGCAGUGAUCUGAGAGAUAAUGAUGGAAAGCAGACAGGGGAAGCCAGGUUAUAAAAAUAUUGGGCAGGAGAUAAAGGGUCCAGGUGGUCAGGAGCAGUGGAGCUGGCCUGAGAGAAGACUGACUCUGGCUGAUGAAGGUCUGUGGCCACAUUCCUGGAGAACAGUGGGAGAGGAAGCUGUGGAGCCAGGAAGUGUCUGUUGGCGGGAACUAAUCCUGGUCACAUUACUACACAAAUGUCCCGGUGACUUCACAUCAGUCCUCUGGACUCUGCAAACUUCCAGGGAGAGCGUGGCACGUCUCCACUACCCGAGGGCUGCAAACACAAUGGCUGUGCCUGGAUUACCCGCGUGUCAGCCAGCAGAGAGGGCAGGAUGAUACACAGUCUGGAACUCAUGCAGGUCCUGCUCCAGACACACUGCCCAACUGCGCCAUAACCCUGACUCUUAACAACAAGAUAGCUGAGAUGAAGAAUCAUUCAUGUUUUGGAUCAAGUCUCCAUGAAAGACUGAUGUCUGUGAUUUAUGCUGCUCUCCCCCCGCCUCGGGGCAGAGGUCAUGCUGAUGUUUGUGGUCUGUGCUGCCACUGGAAGCCAGUGUUGAGGUCCGUGGUCUGGAGACCAGGUUGAUGUGAGAAAACAUGUUGAUGUCUUUGGCCCAUGUUGCUACUAGAGACCAUGUUAAUGUCCAUGAUCUGUGCUGGGGCUAGAGAGGUUGAUGUCUGUGAUCUGUACUGCUGCCUGCUACUAUGGGCAGGAAAGCUGCUUUUGCAGUGGUAUUGAUGACUGCAGACUCAUACCUGAGAGUGAGAGAGAGAGGUGGCUUCUCAUUCUUUUCCAACCUCCGCUCACCCCCUAUCCCAGAAAAGAAACAGUUCAGGUAUCAAGCUAUAGAAGAGAGUCCUUAAAAUUGUAAUAAAGAUGCUGAAGUAUAGCUCUUCACAGUUGAUGGCUUCUGGGGGUCAGACCAAGGGGGACCAACACAGAGGAAUCAAUUUUCUUUAAAGGGCUGGCCACGGGAAGUCGAACCAUGUUCAAUUGAGUAUAUGGGCAACCCAAACUGAACUUGGUAUUGGAUUUUUGGGGUUUUUAAAUUUUUUUAAAUUUUUAAAAUUAUUUAUUUAUUUAUUUAUUUUGAGGGAAGGCUGGAUCUGGGAGGAAGGGGAAGCAGAUGUCAUAGGGUGAAUUGUAUGAAAUUCUGACAUAAUGAAUAAAAACAUUACGUUAGGGAAAAAUAAAAUUCAUUAGAAAUCCAGGAGAUGAACGAUGAUGACAGCAAGAUCACAUUCACCUGUGAGACUCACGGACACUUUCCCAUCAUUCAGGAAAUUGUGCAUUUUUUUUUUUUUUUUUG